Molecule: ribosomal RNA, 253 nt
Filed under: uncultured bacterium
Lineage: Bacteria
Description: partial 16S ribosomal RNA
Rfam family: Bacterial small subunit ribosomal RNA
Source: RNAcentral
CACGUAGGGCGCGAGCGUUGUCCGGAAUUAUUGGGCGUAAAGAGCUCGUAGGCGGCCUGUUGCGUCCGCUGUGAAAGCCCGGGGCUUAACCCCGGGUCGGCAGUGGAUACGGGCAGACUAGAGUCAGGUAGGGGAGAACGGAAUUCCUGGUGUAGCGGUGAAAUGCGCAGAUAUCAGGAGGAACACCGGUGGCGAAGGCGGUUCUCUGGGCCUGUACUGACGCUGAGGAACGAAAGCGUGGGGAGCGAACAGG